Molecule: ribosomal RNA, 252 nt
Filed under: uncultured bacterium
Lineage: Bacteria
Description: partial 16S ribosomal RNA
Rfam family: Bacterial small subunit ribosomal RNA
Source: RNAcentral
ACGGAGGAUGCAAGCGUUAUCCGGAUUUAUUGGGUUUAAAGGGUGCGUAGGCGGAAUAAUAAGUCAGUGGUGAAAUCCUGCAGCUUAACUGUAGAACUGCCAUUGAUACUGUUAUUCUUGAAUAUAGUUGAGGUAGGCGGAAUGUGUAAUGUAGCGGUGAAAUGCAUAGAUAUUACACAGAACACCGAUUGCGUAGGCAGCUUACUAAGCUAUUAUUGACGCUGAGGCACGAAAGCGUGGGGAUCGAACAGG